GGUUAAGCGACUAAGCGUACACGGUGGAUGCCCUGGCAGUCAGAGGCGAUGAAGGACGUGCUAAUCUGCGAUAAGCGUCGGUAAGGUGAUAUGAACCGUUAUAACCGGCGAUUUCCGAAUGGGGAAACCCAGUGUGUUUCGACACACUAUCAUUAACUGAAUCCAUAGGUUAAUGAGGCGAACCGGGGGAACUGAAACAUCUAAGUACCCCGAGGAAAAGAAAUCAACCGAGAUUCCCCCAGUAGCGGCGAGCGAACGGGGAGCAGCCCAGAGCCUGAAUCAGUGUGUGUGUUAGUGGAAGCGUCUGGAAAGGCGCGCGAUACAGGGUGACAGCCCCGUACACAAAAAUGCACAUAUUGUGAGCUCGAUGAGUAGGGCGGGACACGUGGUAUCCUGUCUGAAUAUGGGGGGACCAUCCUCCAAGGCUAAAUACUCCUGACUGACCGAUAGUGAACCAGUACCGUGAGGGAAAGGCGAAAAGAACCCCGGCGAGGGGAGUGAAAAAGAACCUGAAACCGUGUACGUACAAGCAGUGGGAGCACGCUUAGGCGUGUGACUGCGUACCUUUUGUAUAAUGGGUCAGCGACUUAUAUUCUGUAGCAAGGUUAACCGAAUAGGGGAGCCGAAGGGAAACCGAGUCUUAACUGGGCGUUAAGUUGCAGGGUAUAGACCCGAAACCCGGUGAUCUAGCCAUGGGCAGGUUGAAGGUUGGGUAACACUAACUGGAGGACCGAACCGACUAAUGUUGAAAAAUUAGCGGAUGACUUGUGGCUGGGGGUGAAAGGCCAAUCAAACCGGGAGAUAGCUGGUUCUCCCCGAAAGCUAUUUAGGUAGCGCCUCGUGAAUUCAUCUCCGGGGGUAGAGCACUGUUUCGGCAAGGGGGUCAUCCCGACUUACCAACCCGAUGCAAACUGCGAAUACCGGAGAAUGUUAUCACGGGAGACACACGGCGGGUGCUAACGUCCGUCGUGAAGAGGGAAACAACCCAGACCGCCAGCUAAGGUCCCAAAGUCAUGGUUAAGUGGGAAACGAUGUGGGAAGGCCCAGACAGCCAGGAUGUUGGCUUAGAAGCAGCCAUCAUUUAAAGAAAGCGUAAUAGCUCACUGGUCGAGUCGGCCUGCGCGGAAGAUGUAACGGGGCUAAACCAUGCACCGAAGCUGCGGCAGCGACACUUAUGUGUUGUUGGGUAGGGGAGCGUUCUGUAAGCCUGUGAAGGUGUGCUGUGAGGCAUGCUGGAGGUAUCAGAAGUGCGAAUGCUGACAUAAGUAACGAUAAAGCGGGUGAAAAGCCCGCUCGCCGGAAGACCAAGGGUUCCUGUCCAACGUUAAUCGGGGCAGGGUGAGUCGACCCCUAAGGCGAGGCCGAAAGGCGUAGUCGAUGGGAAACAGGUUAAUAUUCCUGUACUUGGUGUUACUGCGAAGGGGGGACGGAGAAGGCUAUGUUGGCCGGGCGACGGUUGUCCCGGUUUAAGCGUGUAGGCUGGUUUUCCAGGCAAAUCCGGAAAAUCAAGGCUGAGGCGUGAUGACGAGGCACUACGGUGCUGAAGCAACAAAUGCCCUGCUUCCAGGAAAAGCCUCUAAGCAUCAGGUAACAUCAAAUCGUACCCCAAACCGACACAGGUGGUCAGGUAGAGAAUACCAAGGCGCUUGAGAGAACUCGGGUGAAGGAACUAGGCAAAAUGGUGCCGUAACUUCGGGAGAAGGCACGCUGAUAUGUAGGUGAAGUCCCUCGCGGAUGGAGCUGAAAUCAGUCGAAGAUACCAGCUGGCUGCAACUGUUUAUUAAAAACACAGCACUGUGCAAACACGAAAGUGGACGUAUACGGUGUGACGCCUGCCCGGUGCCGGAAGGUUAAUUGAUGGGGUUAGCCGCAAGGCGAAGCUCUUGAUCGAAGCCCCGGUAAACGGCGGCCGUAACUAUAACGGUCCUAAGGUAGCGAAAUUCCUUGUCGGGUAAGUUCCGACCUGCACGAAUGGCGUAAUGAUGGCCAGGCUGUCUCCACCCGAGACUCAGUGAAAUUGAACUCGCUGUGAAGAUGCAGUGUACCCGCGGCAAGACGGAAAGACCCCGUGAACCUUUACUAUAGCUUGACACUGAACAUUGAGCCUUGAUGUGUAGGAUAGGUGGGAGGCUUAGAAGUGUGGACGCCAGUCUGCAUGGAGCCGACCUUGAAAUACCACCCUUUAAUGUUUGAUGUUCUAACGUUGACCCGUAAUCCGGGUUGCGGACAGUGUCUGGUGGGUAGUUUGACUGGGGCGGUCUCCUCCUAAAGAGUAACGGAGGAGCACGAAGGUUGGCUAAUCCUGGUCGGACAUCAGGAGGUUAGUGCAAUGGCAUAAGCCAGCUUGACUGCGAGCGUGACGGCGCGAGCAGGUGCGAAAGCAGGUCAUAGUGAUCCGGUGGUUCUGAAUGGAAGGGCCAUCGCUCAACGGAUAAAAGGUACUCCGGGGAUAACAGGCUGAUACCGCCCAAGAGUUCAUAUCGACGGCGGUGUUUGGCACCUCGAUGUCGGCUCAUCACAUCCUGGGGCUGAAGUAGGUCCCAAGGGUAUGGCUGUUCGCCAUUUAAAGUGGUACGCGAGCUGGGUUUAGAACGUCGUGAGACAGUUCGGUCCCUAUCUGCCGUGGGCGCUGGAGAACUGAGGGGGGCUGCUCCUAGUACGAGAGGACCGGAGUGGACGCAUCACUGGUGUUCGGGUUGUCAUGCCAAUGGCACUGCCCGGUAGCUAAAUGCGGAAGAGAUAAGUGCUGAAAGCAUCUAAGCACGAAACUUGCCCCGAGAUGAGUUCUCCCUGACUCCUUGAGAGUCCUGAAGGAACGUUGAAGACGACGACGUUGAUAGGCCGGGUGUGUAAGCGCAGCGAUGCGUUGAGCUAACCGGUACUAAUGAACCGUGAGGCUUAACCUU
Molecule: ribosomal RNA, 2906 nt
Filed under: Escherichia coli
Lineage: Bacteria; Pseudomonadati; Pseudomonadota; Gammaproteobacteria; Enterobacterales; Enterobacteriaceae
Description: 23S ribosomal RNA
Rfam family: Bacterial large subunit ribosomal RNA
Source: RNAcentral